This 401-nucleotide long non-coding RNA is filed under the name Ananas comosus (pineapple). RNAcentral's name for it is "long non-coding RNA (ACOM_LNC016336)". Lineage: Eukaryota; Viridiplantae; Streptophyta; Magnoliopsida; Poales; Bromeliaceae. The record is from RNAcentral.
AAAAAAAAAAAAAAAAAAAAAAAAUAAACUUCAAAUACCACUUUAGUGGUUUCGUACUUUUUCACUUUAAUAUUUUAUACUUUAAAGAUAAUAAAUUUAUUACCGCAUGAUUUUAUUUUUCUCUUUUAAUCAGUCCAUCUGUUAAUUUUCAUUAAAUCAUAUACGAAAAAUUUUAAAUAUCCCAUCUAUAGUUUAUCGAAUAUUUACUUUACCCUUCGGUUUUAACUUUAUUAUUGAUUUAACGAAAAAAAUUAGUAAAUCAGAUAACAAAAAGAGGAAAAAUAAAAUCACAUGGUAUAAAAGUGAUAGACUUUAAAUCAUAGAAUAUUAAAAUAAAAAAAUACGAAAUCACAUAGGUGACAUUUAAAGUUUUUUUUAUUUAAAAAAAAAAAAGUCUCCAA